AUAUGUUUAGGGAAUUGAGAUUUUUUGUAAUUUUGAAAACAUAAGCUGUGUAUUUGUGUAAUUUUUAGUAUUUUUUUAUUUACCAGCCCACUCCCCAUCCAAUUCACCAAUAACACCAGUUGCCCAACCAGCCCAACAACAAUUAACACAACAACUUAGGCCCAAAGCAAACUAACCCGGCCAAGCUCCCUAUUCUCCUUUAACGGAAUAGUGUACAACAGCAACAGUUGUGUACAAUAUGUGUCCAAUAGAAAAACAACGACUUCAACGAUCAGUUUCAACCUGAUAAAAACCAACGACUCGACGGUCUGAACCAUCAAAAACCCGAAUUCGCUGAUUAAUCCCCUUCUUAUCGACUCGAAUUCAUCGGCUCAACUCCAA
Molecule: long non-coding RNA, 381 nt
Filed under: Capsicum annuum
Lineage: Eukaryota; Viridiplantae; Streptophyta; Magnoliopsida; Solanales; Solanaceae
Description: long non-coding RNA (CANN_LNC013686)
Source: RNAcentral